This 468-nucleotide ribosomal RNA is filed under the name uncultured bacterium. RNAcentral describes it as "partial 16S ribosomal RNA". It matches the Rfam family "Bacterial small subunit ribosomal RNA", at positions 28 to 507 of the family's 1533-position model. The record is from RNAcentral.
GACGAACGCUGGCGGCGUGCUUAACACAUGCCAGUCGAACGGAAAGGCCCUGCUUUUGUGGGGUGCUCGAGUGGCGAACGGGUGAGUAACACGUGAGUAACCCGCCCUUGAGUGUGGGAUAACUUCAGGAAACUGGGGCUAAUACCGGAUAGGAGCUCCUGAUGCAUGGUGGUGGUUGGACAGUUUCGGCGGUGGGGGAUGGACGGGCGGUUUACUAGCUUGUUGGUGGGGUAGCGGCCUAGCAGGGCUUCGGUGGCUAGCCGGCCUGGGAGGGCGGCCGCCGUCCUGGGGACUAAGGUAGGCCCCAGUCUCCAACGGGGGACAGUGGGGGGGAGUCUGGCACAGUGGGGCGAAGCGUGUGGAGGCAACCCCGGGAGCGGAAUGACGGCCUUCGGGGGGUAAACGGCUUUAGCCUGUGACGAGGCGUGUGUGACGGUAAUGGGAGAAGAAGCACCGGCUAACUACGUG